Molecule: transfer RNA, 72 nt
Filed under: Candidatus Atribacteria bacterium
Lineage: Bacteria; Pseudomonadati; Atribacterota; Atribacteria
Also listed under: 1 other name
Description: tRNA-Asn
Rfam family: tRNA
About the family: Transfer RNA (tRNA) molecules are approximately 80 nucleotides in length. Their secondary structure includes four short double-helical elements and three loops (D, anti-codon, and T loops).
Source: RNAcentral
UCCUCGGUAGCUCAACGGUGGAGCAUCCGGCUGUUAACCGGAGGGUUGUAGGUUCGAAUCCUACCCGAGGAG